Molecule: long non-coding RNA, 1182 nt
Filed under: Vigna radiata
Lineage: Eukaryota; Viridiplantae; Streptophyta; Magnoliopsida; Fabales; Fabaceae
Description: long non-coding RNA (VRAD_LNC004599)
Source: RNAcentral
UGAGUUAACACCCUUUAGAGCCACCUUGGAGUCAUCUCUGAAAGACACAAACCUGACAUCCACCUUGGUAAGUUUAUCAAAAAAAUUAUCAUUUCCACACAUAUGAUUACUCUUUCCAGUAUCUAAAUACCAUACCGAGUUGGUAGAAAUCUCCUCAUCCUUUGAUUUCAAGCAUGGUCCAACAUCUGAGUUCUCCAACUUCGUUUAUAAGCACUUCAUCAGCAUUGCUGAGUUCUUUGAAAACUCGGCACUCAACAGAACCCUAAUAUCUUCUUCAUCUUCUUGCUCUGUAAUUGUAGCACUUCCUCGAUCUGCAUUCGUUUGCAUAGUGACCAUGUUUGCCACACUUAAAACACUCAACUCAUGACUGGUCUCCAUGGCCUUUCCCUUGUCCUUGGUCACACCAAUUCUAUUGACCGGUUUGCUCUUCACUAUCAUUCUCAAAAUUACCUCGGCCAUGUCCACCUCGUCCUCGGCCUCUUCGUCCUUUACCUCUAAGACCUUGACUCUGAAUAUUCUGAGUUUCAUUUGAGUCAAAUUAUGCUUCUAGUACUUGAUUGUCGGGUUUCCUCUUUUUCUUCUUCUUCCUUAGUUUGUGGGCCUUUAAUGAUCCAACUAACUCCUCCACAGCGAGAUUUGACAAAUCCUUUUUCUCUUCAAUAGUAACCACGAUAUUUUCAAAAUUAUUCGUCAGAUUUCUCAAGAUAUUUUCUACAACUCGAUUAGGAGGCACCUCUUCUCUGUUCAUUCUGAGUUGGUUGACCAUCUUCUGCACUCAAGCUAUAAACUCAACAACUUUCUCAUUUUCAUCCAUCUUCAUAUGUCAAACUCUAUUUUUAGAGCUCGUACUCGGACCUGCCUCACACAUAUAUCUCCUUUAUAAGCCACCUCUAGAAUUUCCUAGGCUUUUUUUUUCUUGACUUUGCAUUAGCUCUUUUCUCGAACCCCAAUUCAUCCACUACAUUAUACAAAAAGUACAAAGUCAAUCUUAGGGUCACUAUUUGAUGUUCAUCCUCCGCGGGUUCAUUGUAUUUGUCCCCCGCAAUGUCACAUACAUCUUGAGAUCCAAGAAAAACCUUAUGUAGACACCAAUUAUUGUAAUUAAUCUUUAUUUACAAUUAUGGCAUACUCAUUCUAUUGACUACCUUUGACAUCUUUUUUCCUCAUAGUGUUUGACUUUCC